RNAcentral lists this ribosomal RNA (372 nucleotides) under uncultured eukaryote. RNAcentral's name for it is "partial 18S ribosomal RNA". It matches the Rfam family "Eukaryotic small subunit ribosomal RNA", at positions 592 to 975 of the family's 1831-position model. The record is from RNAcentral.
UGUAAGCGUAUACCAAAGUUGUUGCAGUUAAAACGCUCGUAGUCGAAUUUUGGUGUGAGUUAUGGAGACUCCUACUGGAUGUUGAAGUAACUUCGCCUUUGUGGAGGGGGUGUGGUGGUACUUUAUUGUAUUGCUGCAUUUCCGCCACUGUUUACUGUGAAAAAAUUAGAGUGUUCAAAGCGAGCGUUUGCCAUGAAUACAUUAGCAUGGAAUAAUAGAAUAGGACCUGGUUCUGUUUUAUUGGUUUGUCUGUAUCAGGUAAUGAUUAACAGGGACGGUCGGGGGUAUUUGUAUUCCAGCGUUAGAGGUGAAAUUCUUGGAUCGCUGGAAGACAGACAGCUGCGAAAGCGUCUACCAAGGACGUUUUCAUUG